Molecule: ribosomal RNA, 253 nt
Filed under: uncultured bacterium
Lineage: Bacteria
Description: partial 16S ribosomal RNA
Rfam family: Bacterial small subunit ribosomal RNA
Source: RNAcentral
GACGAAGGGGGCUAGCGUUGUUCGGAAUUACUGGGCGUAAAGCGUGCGCAGGCGGUUGUGCAAGACCGAUGUGAAAUCCCCGGGCUUAACCUGGGAAUGGCAUUGGUGACUGCACGGCUAGAGUGUGUCAGAGGGGGGUAGAAUUCCACGUGUAGCAGUGAAAUGCGUAGAGAUGUGGAGGAAUACCGAUGGCGAAGGCAAUCCCCUGGGCCUGCACUGACGCUCAUGCACGAAAGCGUGGGGAGCAAACAGG